This 494-nucleotide ribosomal RNA is filed under the name uncultured bacterium. RNAcentral describes it as "bacterial SSU rRNA". It matches the Rfam family "Bacterial small subunit ribosomal RNA", at positions 28 to 507 of the family's 1533-position model. The record is from RNAcentral.
GAUGAACGCUAGCUACAGGCUUAACACAUGCAAGUCGAGGGGAAACGACAUCGAAAGCUUGCUUUUGGUGGGCGUCGACCGGCGCACGGGUGAGUAACGCGUAUCCAACCUGCCCACCACUUGGGGAUAACCUUGCGAAAGUAAGACUAAUACCCAAUGAUAUCCCACGAAGGCAUCCGAAUGGGAUUAAAGAUUUAUCGGUGAUGGAUGGGGAUGCGUCUGAUUAGCUUGUUGGCGGGGUAACGGCCCACCAAGGCAACGAUCAGUAGGGGUUCUGAGAGGAAGGUCCCCCCACAUUGGAACUGAGACACGGUCCAAACUCCUACGGGAGGCAGCAGUGAGGAAUAUUGGUCAAUGGGCGAGAGCCUGAACCAGCCAAGUAGCGUGCAGGACGACGGCCCCUAUGGGUUGUAAACUGCUUUUAUAAGGGAAUAAAGUGGGUCACGUGUGACUUUUUGCAUGUACCUUAUGAAUAAGGACCGGCUAAUUCCGUG